Molecule: ribosomal RNA, 1346 nt
Filed under: metagenome
Description: bacterial LSU rRNA
Rfam family: Bacterial large subunit ribosomal RNA
Source: RNAcentral
UGAGUGCGUGCGGCUACGGCCGCGAAGUGGGUGAUGUCAAGCUUCCAAGAAAAGCCCUAUACCCGUUAAGGCAUGAUGGCCUGUACCCGAAACCGACACAGGUGGGGUGGUAGAGAAUACCGAGGGGCGCGAGGUAACUCUCUCUAAGGAACUCGGCAAAAUGGCCCCGUAACUUCGGGAGAAGGGGUGCCACCGCAAGGUGGUCGCAGUGAAGAGGCCCAGGCGACUGUUUACCAAAAACACAGGUCUCCGCUAAGUCGCAAGACGAUGUAUGGGGGCUGACGCCUGCCCAGUGCCGGAAGGUUAAGGAAGCUGGUCAGCGCAAGCGAAGCUAGCGACUGAAGCCCCGGUGAACGGCGGCCGUAACAAUAACGGUCCUAAGGUAGCGAAAUUCCUUGUCGGGUAAGUUCCGUCCCGCACGAAAGGCGUAACGAUCUGGGCGCUGUCUCGGAGAGAGGCUCGGCGAAAUAGAAUUGUCUGUGAAGAUGCGGACUACGUGCACCCGGACAGAAAGACCCUAUGAAGCUUUACUGUAGCUUGGUAUUGUGCCCGGGCUCUGAAUGCGCAGGAUAGGUGGGAGGCUUUGAUCCAUGGCUUGCGGGUCAUGGUGAGCCAACGGUGAGAUACCACUCUUUCAGAGCUAGGGUUCUAACGGUCACCCGUCAUCCGGGGACCGGACAGUAUCAGGUGGGCAGUUUGACUGGGGCGGUCGCCUCCUAAAAGGUAACGGAGGCGCGCAAAGGUUUGCUCAGGCUGGUUGGAAAUCAGCCGACGAGUGCAAAAGCAGAAGCAAGCUUGACUGUGAGACCUACAAGUCGAACAGGGACGAAAGUCGGCUUUAGUGAUCCGACGGUUCUGAGUGGAAGGGCCGUCGCUCAACGGAUAAAAGUUACUCUAAGGAUAACAGGCUGAUCUCCCCCAAGAGUUCACAUCGACGGGGAGGUUUGGCACCUCGAUGUCGGCUCAUCGCAACCCGGGGCUGAAGUCGGUCCCAAGGGUUGGGCUGUUCGCCAUUAAAGCGGUACGCGAGCUGGGUUCAGAACGUCGUGAGACGGUUCGGUCCAUAUCCGGUGCACGCGCAGGAACAUUGAGAGGAUUUCUCCCUAGUACGAGAGGACCGGGAGGAACGCACCUCUGGUGUGCCAGUUAUCGUGCCAACGGUAAACGCUGGGUAGCCAUGUGCGGAGUGGAUAACCGCUGAAAGCAUCUAAGUGGGAAGCCCACCUCAAGAUGAGUGUUCCCAUGGCAUAAGCCAGUAAGGUCACGGGAAGAACACCCGUUGAUAGGCUCUACGUGGAAGCCGGGUAACCGGUGAAGCGGAGGAGUACUAAUAGACCGAGGGCUUG